AUGAAAAAUAGUGAGCAUUUUCCCCAGGGUUUCUCAUCUGUCUGCUGGCUCCUAUCUGACAUUUCGACCUGCUCGCUUGCCAGACAAGGACCACCAUUUGGGAUUGAUCUCUGCACUGGCAGGGCAACACCAGCUCUACUGAAACAUCGCUUCACAGAAACACCGAGCUCUAAAAAAAAAAAAAAAAAAAAGUCCGGCCAGUAUUUACCGAGCAGCCUUAAAACCGAUGUGCACACACAGCGGUAUUUGUGUACCGAAGCGAGCUAUCUUGCACAUGCCCUGCUGAUUACACAAAGGCACGCUGCCCAGAGCAGCCCUCCGGACACACCGAGGCAGGGACGCGGCCACGUCCAUGUGGCACUUCUCCUUGGGGACGGCACCUGGAUCCCAGCCCCGGUCCGCAGCCCGGCCAUACGAGCAGAAGGCAGCGCUGAGCCCCACCUGCGAGGUGUCACCACCAGAACCAGCGGCUUGGGACUCAUUUUGGACUUAUUUCGGACUUAUUUUCAGGCCACAGCACGCAAACGCCUGGGCUGGGUGAAGGCAGCGAGCCUGGCGGUCCCGAAAGAAACCCAAAACCCACAAACCCGAACGCUUCUCCGCCGCUCCGCUCCAUCCCGCCGCGCUGCGAGGGGAGCCCGCGGGGGCAGACCCCGCGGACUGCAAACACGGGGAAGGGGGGGCGCGGGGGGCGGCUCGCCCCGGACCCCCACCGGCACUGACGUGGCAGCCGAGGCCGCGGCGGAGGCUCCGGACCGGGGCCCGCCCUCCCCGCGCCCCCCGCCCCGGAGGCGCCGCCGGUGCCCGUCAGAGCCCGGCCGAGCCCAGCCGCCUCUGCGCUUCCUGCCGGGGCUGGGGGGCAGCGCGUCCCCGCCGCCGCCUCCUCCUCCUCCUCCUCCUCAGCGGGGAGGCGCCCCCCUGCCCGCAGCUACCGGCGGCCCCCGCUCGCUCCGUCCCUCACUCACCGACCGAGCGCAGCGGGCGCGGCGCGGCCCGGCUCCGCCGCAGACUUUACUCCUGCGCCGUUCCCCGCUGCCGACGUGGCGCCCGCCCGCCGCCGCCGCCACCGCCCGCCCCGUCGGCGCCCGCAGACCCCGCCCCAGCGCCCGGCGCGGCCCCUCGGCGGCCGGGGGGCGCGCAGGCGCCGCCGACACCGACCCAGGCCCGGCCCGGUCCCCCACCCCCCCCCGGGCACCCCGCUCCGAGCACCCCCUGGGAAGGCCCGGGCCCCUUGGGCCGGCGGGAGCGGGGCCGGGGGACCGCCGAGGCGGGGGGAGGUCGCCCCGGGUGCCAAGAGGGGGGAGAAGGGAGCCCCAGUGGGUGCGGGCGGGUGGCCAAAAUGGCCGGUGA
Molecule: long non-coding RNA, 1350 nt
Filed under: Anser brachyrhynchus (Pink-footed goose)
Lineage: Eukaryota; Metazoa; Chordata; Aves; Anseriformes; Anatidae
Description: lncRNA (ENSABRG00000004467.1)
Source: RNAcentral